This is a long non-coding RNA of Mirounga angustirostris (Northern elephant seal), 5478 nucleotides long. RefSeq lists it as uncharacterized. The transcript has 2 exons. Lineage: Eukaryota; Metazoa; Chordata; Mammalia; Carnivora; Phocidae. The record is from RefSeq and is a predicted model, not a curated record.
GCAAAGGGCGAGGUGAAAGACAAAACUUCAUGGUUCCCUCGCUACGCAACAGUUUGGCAGUGCUAUACAAAAACAUGCUGAAACCAACCCCACCAAGCGUUUAAAAAGGCCCCUCAAACGUACACUGGGGCAUGAUGUGUAAGAAGCGGAAGACGGUAAGCGCACAGCAUAUUCCCAUAAGGAUCGCCCUGCGCCUUCACUGCCCCCACGUGGCACAGCGCGAGCCCCGCCCUUUCCGCUUGGUGCCUCGGAGGGCGACGCUGAGGGAGCUUAAUUUCGAGGUGAGAACUGUGAGUAACGGUAAGCAAUAUGAAAAAUAUGGUAGUCAGCUUUUAAAGUACACUGCUCAGGUGAACUACUAAACCCUGACAGAUUUCCAUCGCAGUGGACAGCUGCUCCCUCAAGAGGUUUUUGCUCUGAGGGAAUUGACUGAGGCACUCCCUGUCCGGAAGGACUUAGUCCAGGCAGAAGUUCAGACAGGAAUGGGUUACGGAACGAAAAAUCAGCCUGUGGGCUGCUUGUCGGCCACCCAGCUCUCGCCGUGGCAGGAGUGCGGAGAGGCGUCGCAGAAACUAGAAGGAGAGGAAAGGCCUCCGGGUUCUGACUUCUGCGGACUCGGGUCGAAAGCCGGCUCUGAGCCUCACCACCUCACAGAAAGGUCGGCCGGUCUGCGGGUCCAGGCGUGCCCCCAAGGAGGUGCCCUCAGACUGGGAAACAGUGGAACGUGGUUCCCGGGCUGCCUACCGGCCUCCCAUUUAACCGCAUGGUAUGUGAAUAUGUGGUGCCUCCCACUACCGCACAUCCUUGGUAUUAAGAGAUGAUGCUGGCAGAUAGCGCCCUUGUCACAAAUUUUUUUAAAGGGGGAGAGGCACAGACCAGGGUGAUAGCAGUCGCUGUCAUCUAUGCAAAAUAAGGGGAGAUUAUACAUACGUAUUUAUUUUGUUUGUAACACGUAUUUUCACAUCUGUGAAACGAGGUUGGAAAUAAUAGUACCUACCGAAAGUGGUGUUGAGGAGAGUAAAUGAGUUAAGAUAGGUUUAAGCGUCCAGAGCAAUGCCUGGCAGAGUAAAUGCAGGCAAACUUAAACUACCUAGCUCUUGUUUUAGGUCUUGGGGGAUACAGCUGUGAGCAAGACGGUGAGGACUUGGUGUUCUUGGAGUGUACAUUUGAUGGGGUGGUGUAGAAGAUGUAACAAAACACAAGCUGCUUUAACAAUACUCUGGUACUGCUUUCUCCGCAGAGCUAGAUAUACCCCCUCCCCCCAAAAAAGCUUUUAAGAUGUAAAGAGAAAACGGAAUGAAUUCUUCUCAUCUUUUUAGACAUUUUAUAUCCCAAUUUCUCUAGAGUCUUUAUCUGGAAGUUUCUAGUCAAAACAAUCAGACUUUUGAGUUCUACAUACUCCUCUUGAAGUUCUUUCAGUGAGGACCAAAUAUCAGUGAAAACAUUCUUUCCAAAAGCUACCACGGGUAGAUUUUAAGAACAACGUCAAGAACAAAUAGUUCUGGAUAUUUCAUGUUUUUUUUCUUGAAAUAACUUUUAUGAAUCUAGUCCUUCAAAGAUGGCCAAGCAAAUUGGACAUUUUUAGUAUAAGUUUGCUAUGUGUAGCUGGAUUUUUGGUAAGUUUUGCUUAAAGUAUUUCUUUUUUUUUUUUUGCUUAAAGUAUUUCAAAACAAGCAGGGAUGUUGGUGCUUGCAUUUUGACAUUUCAUGGUCUAUGUGUUUUAAGCUUCAAUGCAUUAAAUUCUGCUGAAAGUUUUAAUUUAUGAAAUUUUAAAGUACAGAUUCUCUUUAGGUGGUGUUUCAAAAUCAGAGGGUUGUUUUGUCAUUGGUGUUCCAAAAUCAGUUCUGUCCAUAAAUUCAGCUGAAUACAGUUGACAACCAAGGAACCUCAGUAUGUAACAGAAAAUACUCUUCAACAGCAUUCUGAACAGAUCUUCAAAAAUCAAGGCAAACUGGGAUUGAAUCUACCAUUUUUCACAAAGGUUAACUGACAGAAAGGUGAAGAUUUCCAGUAGAUUAUGGGCCAGUUGAUGGAAGCUGAUGCCUGGUGGUGAUUGCUACAGUACAUCUUAAACACAGUUUUCUUCAGUUUUUGCCAAAAACCCAGAUUUAAAACACUACUGUAAUGGAUACCCUUAUAAUAUUAUAGUUUUCCUCCAACUCAGUUCAUUUGCUACAGCUUCAAAAAUACUGUCUUUAGUGGUCAAGUAUUAGGCUUAUGAAACCAGCACACUCAAGAGUUUUUAAAGCCUAUUUUAAACAUAAGCAAAGCACAUUUUUAUCAGAUUCUUCUCAACUAAGCAAAGAAGGCUGAGCUGAUGUUUUUAAAACAUGAAGUUUGAUAUACUCAGUCAUCAAUCCAGAGUUAAGACUGCAGAAGUAGAUGAAGAAAGUCUGGAAUUCCUCAAUUUCCUCUCAAAGUUGUGGCAGCACUUGGAAUGCUAGGCUUCACAAGUUUCUCCAUUUUUUUCUCCUUUGCAAUUAAAAGGGCUAUUUAAUACUAUGCUUUCAUAGCCUUUGAAGAUUGCUGUUAAUAUUCCAAUACUGUCCAAUCUUAAAGCUGCAGAGAAUUGUGCUUUGCAGAAUACUCCACUGUUGUUAUAGCAUAAAUUUAACAGUGUUUGGCAUGGUGUCACUGCCCAACAUUUUCAGGUAACUCAGCUGAAGAAGUUCACCCUAUCUUCUGCGUCAUAACGUGAAUAUAUACUUGAUAAAAGCCUCAAAAAAUUUUUUGGCUGCCAUCUUUACCUACCUCAAAGGAGAAAACAGAAAAAGGAGUACCGAUGGUGGAAGCAUCUGGUCCUUCUUGGAGAACGAUGAGUGAUUUUAUUGGCGGCAGCUGGGUGGCAGAGCAAUAUAGGCAUCCAGUUAUGCCUGAGCCCCAAGAAGUGAAAUCUUUGUUCAUUUCCUUUUUAUACACCCAUCUGCCGCCUAAAACCUGACACCAUUUAAUGGUGCCCUUGGUCAAAUCUAUAAAUGAUCUUACUUUCAUAAUCCUCUGAUUCUAGCUUGAAGAGUCAAGAUGAACUCUAACUCAUGGGAUGGACAAAAUGGGAGAUGCAAAUAAGUAAGCUUUUCAGAGCUAAAAAGCCUCUUUUUAUACAAAAUUAAACUUUAAAAGAACAUUGACCUCAAAACAACAUAACUAUCUUGGAUAUGCUAUAAAAAUAGCAGUAUGUUCCCACCCACAGUGAACAUCUGCAGCUACCCAACCUGUCAUACCUCAUUAAUUAUAGGCCUUACUCUGAAUGCUGCUUGUUCUAUCUUUGUACUCCCACCAGCCAAGGAGUUCUUUCCAACUUUAUUUCUUAUGAAAUGUUUUUUCUUUUUAACAUUAUACACUAUAAUUUUGUAAACUAUAACUCUUCGCCAUAUCUGCAAUGCUAAUAUAAUUUGUGAGGGAGAGAAUGCCUUUCUCUCCUAUUCCUAAAAAUCACUGACUAUUCCUUGAGUCUGUGAGUGACAACACUCUACUCAGUCCCUAAAACUAAAAAGCAUGCUUACCUCCAAAGUAGAUAAAAAAUGUGUUGAAUUGGUAGCUGACAAAAAUUCACUGUACCCAGAACUGUGUGAUGGAUAAUGCAUAAUAUUAAAUAAACCAUUAUACAAAAAUAGUUUAUUAUAAUGAUUAUUAUUAUGAGAGUUUAUUCAGUAAAAUUCUAAAUUAUGCUACUGUAAUGUUAUAUGUUGAGCAAUGAAAGGCAGUAACAAAACUAUGUCAUCAAUUACUAAGUUUAUACAUACAUAAAAAAUUUUUACCUCUUCAAUGUAAUUCCUAUGUUUGGCAACACCAUCUACCUAAAUUCUGGUAUAUGGUUGAACAUAAAAGUUUUAUUUCCCUUUAAAUAUUCUAUAUUUUGAAAGGGUUUAUCCCCAAUUUGUUUUACUUGGUUUUGGGGUUUAUAUUUACUGGUAUGCUUUAUAAGUAAGAGUGUUCUCUGGCUUCCCUGGUUGAAAAGACCAUCUCUUUUCUCCUGUCUAAAUUGGCUUUCAAUUAAAAUUUCAGUUUUGAAAUCCUUUCAGAAAAUUCUAACAGAGGAUUGAAAGGUUACGUUCUUACAUCAGCUUCAGUGUACUAAAACCCAGAAGUACAGGACAUAGUUUCUCGGGGCAGCAACCUUUGUUACCCUGGGGAAAGCAUGGUGCUAGGGUUUGUGCUUAAAGUCAAGUUCGUUUGAUGAAAUUAGCAGUGAUUUGUAGUUAAGAUUUGUGUCUUAUGUGUCCACUUACCAGUAACUGUAAGUUGGAAGAGUAUGAUAGUAGCUAAUGUACGAUGUCUUAGGACAGUGUUCUGUUUAUGUUUUGACUGCAAUCCAGAGUAAGCAAUACAUUUUACUCUCAGACCAAGUAUACACACAUGUACAUAAAUUUAAAAGUUUCAUAAGACAGUGUUUACCUUAAUAUGUUCCAUGCACUCUGAUAUAUUCUGUUUAAUAUUAAAAUAAUGCUGGGCAUGACCCAUUUAUUUUAAGACCCACUAAUUGGUCAACCCCCACAAUUUGAAAACCACUGCUAUAGGAGAACAUGAGGAAAUAUUUUAUAAACUGUAAAGUACACUGAAAUGUGUAUGCAGCUGCUAAUGAAUAUCCAGGAUAAGACUUUUACGGGCCUGAGACAUUCUCUCCUUCCUUGGGUACUGCUAGGAGUCACAUUCACCUAGGCUUUUGGUAAGGAAGACAGUAUUCAAACUGUCAUUGAGACAACUCUGUAGUAACUCGGCAAUGUAUUAACCAAAUCAGAACCCAAAGAAAAGAAGACAAGUUAGAGGAAUAUGAAAAAAAGCAUACAUCUGCUUAGUGCUUUAUGGUUUAUAAAAUACUUUCACAUACAUGAUCUCUUAAUCUUAAGCCUAGGGGAAAAUAAGCUAAGAGGUAGAGACCUGCCCAAGAUUAGACAGUAAGUGGCAGAGCCAGGUCAUCUGUUCCUAAAUCCCUCACUCCUUUCACUGUGAUAAAAUACCAGGAAAGGAGAGUGAUCAGGGCAUGAGGCUUCUGAUCCAUCAAAAAGAUGUUUAUGUCCUCUGCCUCCCUCUGUAGGGAAAACAGACCCUACUGAUGGGUGAGGAAGCAACCUCAGACUUUGGGAAGGGGGUGUGUCCAGUUGCACUUAAUUUGUCCAGGACUCAAACCUGGCAUUUCAGCCUAUCAAUACCAGUCAUGUUUUUUUGUAUGUGUGUUUUUUCUCCAGUCAUCUGUUUUGACACUGCUCUGAGUUCCCAAAUGUCUAUUAUCUACAAGUAUUAUGGCUUUCCAUUCCUAUGUGUUAAGGGUCCUGGGAUCUUGGUCACGUACACACUCAGGACUCAACAGAGGGAAAUCAAAUACUAGGGAUAUGUCACCUAUACUCAGAUUCAAAGGGAAUAACAGUAGUAAGCUUCUGGUGACUGUUGUGUCUUUGCUUAGCUUCCCCGGGGAAGCCAGUCGGCCUCAACCAAUUUGUCUCCUUUCUCUACAUAUGCCCAUCUCCAUUAUUGUGCCCU